CAGCCCCAAGCAUCCAGUACCGUGCGUCGAACCUGGACUGGCGACUCGUUUCAUACAUGAUAUUAUACAUGUUUCAAUGCUAUUCUCCCAAAUCUCCCCAUCCUCUCCCUCUCCCACAGAGUCUGUAAGACUGAUCUAUACAUCGGUGUCUCUUUUGCUAUCUCGUACACAGGGUUAUUGUUACCAUCUUUCUAAAUUCCAUAUAUAUGCGUUAGUAUACUGUAUUGGUGUUUUUCUUUCUGGCUUACUUCACUCUGUAUAAUAGGUUCCAGUUUCAUCCAUCUCAUUAGAACUGAUUCAAACGUAUUCUUUUUAAUGGCUGAGUAAUACUCCAUUGUGUAUAUGUACCACAGCUUUCUUAUCCAUUCAUCUGCUGAUGGGCAUCUAGCUUAUAUAAACAGUGCUGCGAUGAACAUUGGGGUACACGUGUCUCUUUCCCUUCUGGUUUCCUCAGUGUGUAUGCCCAGCAGUGGGAUUGCUGUGAUCCUAGCUUUUUGAAUGUUGAGUUUUAAGCCAGCUUUUCGACUCUCCUCUUUCACCUUCAUUAAAAAGCUCUUUAGUUCCUCUUUGCUUUCUACCAUAAGGGUGGUGUCAUCUGCACAUCUGAGGUUAUUGAUAUUUCUCCCAGCAAUUUUGAUUCCAGCUUCUGCUUCAUACAGCCUGGCAUUUUGCAUGAUGUACUUUGCAUAUAAGCUAAAUAAUCAGGGUGACACUGUACAGCCUUGACGUACUCCUUUCCCAGUUUGGAACCAGUCUGUUGUUCCAUGUCUGGAUCUGACUGUUGCUUCUUGACCUGCAUAUAGAUUUUUCAGGAGGCAGGUAAGAUGGGCUGGUAUUUUCAUCUCUUGAAGAAUUUUCCACAAUUUGUUGUGAUCCAUACAGUCAAAGGCUUUGGCAUCGUCAAUAAAGCAGAAAUAUAUGUUUUUUUGGAAUUCUCUUGCUUUUUCUAUGAUCUCUGGUUCCUCUGCCUUUUCUAAAUCCAGUUUGUACAUCUGGAAGUUCUCGGUUUAUGUUCUGUUGAAACCUAGCUUGGAGAAUUUUGAGCAUUACUUUGCUAGUGUGUGAAAUGAGUGCAAUUGUGCGAUACUUUGAACAUUCUUUGGCAUUGCCUUUUUUUGGGAUUGGAACAAAAACUGACCUUUUCCACUCCUGUGGCCACUGCUAAGUUUUCCAAGUUUGCUGGCAUAUUGAAUAUAGCACUUUAACAGCAUCAUUUUUAGGAUUUGAAAUAGCUCAGCUGGAAUUCCAUCACCUCCACUCUCUUUGUUCAUAGUGAUGCUUCCUAAGGCCCAGUUGACUUGGCAUUCCAGGAUGUCUGGCUCUAGGUGGGUGAUCACACCAUCUGGGUCAUUACGAUCUCUUCUGUAUAGUUCUUCUGUGUAUUCUUGCCACCUCUUGUUAAUAUCUUCUGCUUCUCUUAGGUCCAUACCAUUUCUGUUCUUUAUUGUGCCCAUCUUUGCAUGAAAUGUUCCCUUGGUAUCUCUAAUUUUCCUGAAGAGGUCUCUAGUCUUUCCUAUUAUAUUGUUUUCCUGUAUUUCUUUGUAUUAAUCACUUAGGAAGGCUUUCUUAUCUCUCCUUGUUAUUCUUCGGAACUCUGCAUUCAGAUGGGUAUAACUUUCCUUUUCUCCUUUGCCUUUUGCCUCUCUUCUUUUCUCAGCUAUUUGUAACCCCCUCUCAGACAACCAUUUUUCCCUUUUGCAUUUAUUUUUUCUUGGGGAUGAUCACAGCCUCCUGUACAAUGUUGCAAACCUCCAUCCACAGUUCUUCAAGCACUCUGUCUAUCAGAUCUAAUCCCUUGAAUCUAUUUGUCACUUCUACUGUAUAAUCUGGCGUGCUGUGAUUCAUGGGGUCGCAAAGAGUCAGAUACGACUGAGCCACUGAACUGAACUGAACUGUAUAAUCAUAAGGGAUUUGACUUAGGUCAUACCUGAAUGGUCUAGUGGUUUUCCCUGCUUUCUUCAAUUUAAGUCUGAAUUUUUCAAUAAGGAGUUCACGAUCUGAGCCACAGUCAGCUUCUGGUCUUGUUUUUGCUGACUAUAUAGAGCUUCUCCAUCUUCGGCUGCAAAGAAUAUAAUCAAUCUGAUUUCGGUAUUGACCAUCCGGUGAUGUCCAUAUGUAGAGUCUUCUCUUGUGUUGUUGGAAGAGGGUGUUUGCUAUGACCAGUGUGUUCUCUUGGCAAAACUCUGUUAGCCAUUGCCCUGCUUCAUUUUGUACUCCACGGUCAAACCUGUCUACUGCCUGACUUCCUACUUUUGCAUUCCAGUUCCCUAUUAUGAAAAAUACAUCUUUUUUUGGUGUUAGUUCUAGAAUAUGAACUAGAACCUGUGCCUUGAGAGCAAGCUUUUCUGUCUGCUGCCUGGUUUUCUUAAUUCCCAGCUCCACCAAGUGGGUCAGCUCCUGUUAUCCCCACUGGCACAGAUGAGGAAACUGAGGUCUCCACGGGUUCCACAACUUGCCCAAGGUCAUGAGUAGGGUCGAACUUGUUCCCUGAUCCACGGGCUGGCAGGUCGUCGCCCAGGCACCUCGGUGUUGACAAGCGCUUUCCUUUGAAUCCCUGAGCACCUGGAGAGCCUGGCAUGGCAGGAUGCUGCUGCCCUCUCGUGGCCAUUAGGAUCUCUGCAGUGAAAAAGUGAAAAAGGAAAAUGAGUUUUUCUUUUCUUUCCUAAGAACAAAGAAGAAGGAACAGUGAGCAGGCCUGAUCACUGCUAGCUUUUACUUGGGUGUGUGCCCAAUGGCUCAGUUGUGUCCGACUCUUUGUGACCCCGUGGACUGUAGCCCGCCAGGCUCCUCUGUCCAUGGGACUCUCCAGGCAAGUAUACUGGAGUGGGUUCCACGCCUCCUCCAACUAUCCUUUGACUCCAUGCUAAUUACAACUUUACAGAACUCUCUUUGCAGACCCUCCCUUGUAGUUUUUCUCUUUUUGCCUUAUAGAAAGAAGGCCUCAGCACAAAAGACAAUAAUGCACCCAACUACCCAACUGCCUGACCCCAUUACUGGGCUACCUGACACCAGCCUGUGACCGCUUUUGAAAGAGCGCUAGAGGAAGGAUGCAACAUCCUGAAACCUCUGUUCCUCAUCACCAACCCCUGACUGUGAGCCUGCAUCUAUAUAAUCCCCCCAGAUUCCUCGUGGAAAAGGGGCACCGUUCUUAAGGCACAAACCUCCUGUGCUCUCCCUUCUGCCACCUGAGGAUCACAGCCACCUUUCUAUUUCUUCCAAACUGUCUCCAUGGUUUUUUUUUCCUUACUUGGUUUUUGUGGGCACAAAGAAAGCCAAGGUUUUGGUAGCAUCAGAGAGGAGAAAUAACAAAAGCCUGCAGCUCCAUCCUUUAUUCCCUGAGGGAUCUCAGUCAAGUCACCUAACCAGCCAGGCCUCAGUUUUCGCAUCUAUAGAAUGGGCAUAAUCCCUCUUCAGGUAGGAGGAUUUCUUGAGCAGGCAGGUGCUCCUGGAGAACCAGACCCUGGACUGGGGAAGACUCACCGGUAGCCCCCUCGUCACCCCCCUCACCCCACCCCCACCCCAGAGAAAGCAGCGGGCAGCCCGCGGAGGGUACACCACGUCCUUGCCGGGAGUAAACACUCUCGGUGCAAAGUCUGCAGCGUUUGUUGACUGGGCGGUGGGGGCUGCUCAUCAAAGGCGGCCCAGCGCCCUGCGGGCCAUUGCGGGCGGUGAGCUUUGGUCGGAGGCUCGUUGAUAAGCAGGGAGGACGUGUGAUCCCGGCCCGGGAGGGGCUCGGGCAGGAGGCGCCUCCCCCGCGGUCCGCUCCCGGAGCACCGGCUGCCCCGGUGCUGCCCAGGGACAAGGCCGACAGGCCGGCUCUGCCUCGCCGCCGCCUGAGGGAGGGUCUGUGUCCUCGCUGAGCCCAGCGCCCCCGCACGGGUCUCUCCAGGCUCAGCACCAGCCCCGGGUAUCCAGGGGAUCUGCGCGGGGAGGGGGUGGGGGUGUAGGUAGGUGCGGGGGCGGGGCGGGGAGGGAGAUAACCCUCGGCCACUCCCCCCAGAGCCUGGGGGCUGGUGCUGCUUCUAAGACCCCAGGGGCAGAAGGCGGGGCCUUCAGGGAACCCAGGAUUCAAGAACCCUUCCAGGCACCCUCCUCCACCGCGGAGGCGGAAGGUGGCUUCCUUCUAGAAUCUGCGAUCACAGCUUCUGGGGACCGCCAGAUCCCCGCCCCGCAAGUCUGAGCGUCAGAAUAUAAACCCUAGGGGACAGAGACAUUCUGCCUGAGCACCAGCUUUGUAAAGUUGUCACAAAUACAUGAAGAAUGCCUGUAUCCAUGGGCGGGGCUGUUCUGGUGAGUUGUCCAUCCUUGUCUCAGCACC
This is a long non-coding RNA of Bos taurus (domestic cattle), 4318 nucleotides long. The record is from Ensembl. Lineage: Eukaryota; Metazoa; Chordata; Mammalia; Artiodactyla; Bovidae.